UUAAUAUUCCCUCUGUCCGGAAAUACUUGUCAUCAAAAUGAAUAAAAGGAGAUGUAUCUAGAUGUAUUUUAGCUCUAGAUACAUCAUUUUUUGUUCAUUUUGAUGAUAAGUAUUUUCAGAUGGAGGGAGUACAUU
Molecule: non-coding RNA, 135 nt
Organism: Triticum urartu
Lineage: Eukaryota; Viridiplantae; Streptophyta; Magnoliopsida; Poales; Poaceae
Source: Rfam